GCCAGGCAUUGUGGCGCACGCCUGUAGUCCCAGCUACUCGGGAGGCUGAGGCAGGAGAAUCACUUGAACCCAGGAGGCAGAGGUUGCAGUGAGCCAAGAUCGUGCCACUGCACUCCAGCCUGGGUGACAGAGUGAGACUCUGUCUCAA
This 148-nucleotide non-coding RNA is filed under the name Homo sapiens (human). Lineage: Eukaryota; Metazoa; Chordata; Mammalia; Primates; Hominidae. The record is from Rfam by way of RNAcentral.